CAGGGCCAGCCCUGGUGACUCCCUCCCAGGCGCCCCUGGCACGCCGAGUUAGGCCAUGCCCCCCGCAGCCUUGGCCUGUGCUCAGCAUGGCCCUGCCGGCGGGCAGCCGCUGCCUGUGCCCACAGCCUCUCGCUCACCGGCUCCGUCUCCCCUGAGCAGUGAAGGGUCGGACCAACCUGAAGAUCAAUGAGAAAUACCUGUCUCCAGACGCCUUAGGGGCCACGACCGCCGGUGCCGGCAGCCAGUCAGCCCCCCCCUCCAAAGUGCUGUCCCCCAGCCGCUCCAACUCCAGCCUCAGCCUCUACAGCAGCGCCUCUGCCCCCAGCAGCCCCCUGGCCAGGAAGGCUGUCCUGCGCCGGACGCGCUCCGGAGACCGGUGCCCCCGUUCCCGCAGCUCCCUCCUGGCUGACGGGGCUGAGCUGAGCUUCUCCGCCCCCCAGGCCAGCACAGAGGCUGCGCCCCCAGAGCCCCCCGAAGGCCCCCCCACCUGAGAGCGCAGCCCGAGAGCACCCGUCGGAGCGGCCCCCCGGCCCCAGGGACGGGCAGGCGCCCUCCCCGGCCCAGCCCGAGCCCCAUUCAGGAUUUUCUGCCCUUCUCGAUGGCUGCGCCAGCAGAGCCGCUUCCACGCCGCAGAUGUGGCUCCAAGGCGGGAGAGGGUGGAAGACCCCGGCCCCAACCCUUCAGCAGAGAGCUCGGUGUGUGUGUGUGUGUGUGUACCUCGUGUGUACCUCGGUGGGGUGUAUGUGU
Non-coding RNA from Chrysemys picta bellii (western painted turtle), 747 nucleotides. The record is from RefSeq and is a predicted model, not a curated record. NCBI's taxonomy places the organism in Eukaryota, Metazoa, Chordata, Testudines, Emydidae.